Equus asinus (donkey) is the source of this 2024-nucleotide long non-coding RNA. NCBI's taxonomy places the organism in Eukaryota, Metazoa, Chordata, Mammalia, Perissodactyla, Equidae. The record is from Ensembl.
GUAAAUAAUCCAAACGGAGCGUACUGCACAAUAUGUAGAAAAGAAUUCGGGGUUGGGCAUGGUGGAGAAGGGGAUGUGCAAGCACAUAUGGAGACUGAAUUCCACAAGUCCGGGAUGAGACAAGCAAGUACUUUGGAAUCAAUUCAAAGUGUCUUUGUUGCCUCAAAAGACACCAAUGCUCAGUUGAAAAUAUCAGCCACUAAAUCAGCUUGGCAUACCACACAAAUGAACACGCGCUAGCAUAUCGCUCACUGGACUGCUCUGUGAGACCCAGUGAAGUUAUGUUUCCUGAUUCAGUGAUUGCAACUAAAAUGUCCUAUGGGCGAACAGAAAGGGACAUUUUUUUUUUUAUUGAGUUAAUGAUAGGUUACAAUCUUGUGAAAUUUCAGUUGUACAUUAAUGUUUGUCAUUCAUGCAAAAGGGGAAAUUUUGAUUACAGAUGUCUUGGCCCCUUACAGUGUGGAGUUGAUUCUGUCAGAUCUUACCAGCAGUCACGCUUUCUACGGUAUAUCAAGCCAUGUGAUGAAGCAUGGCAAUAAAAAAGUGUUCCCCCAGCUCUUAGGUACUUUGAUUUGGAAAAUGGGGUUUCAAAUCGUUGUCUUGAUUUCCGUGAAGAUUUUAACAAAACCUCAGAAACUAGACUCCAAACACAAGCUAGACUUUACUCGGCCAUCGGCAUGUUCAGCAGAUAGCGCAGAUGUAAAUUUCAGCAAAUUCCAUUCAGCCUAUAAACUUCUUACCAAAGAAAAUGAAACGAUCUCACCUGCUAAAUGUCCUGCACACCUUGUACCCAAGACUGCUAAAAAGGGGUGUGAUACGCUUUCCUGUGACACUGAGGCUUUCAUAAUGAAAGUUUUUGGUUACUUUUCAAUUUCCUCAAAACAUGCAGAAGAACUUAAUGAGAUUCUUGACUUUGUAGAAAUGGAAGGAGAUGGCCUCCUUAGACAUAUGCCUACAAGAUGACUGUCAUUGUUGCCAGCCAUAGAAACGAGGUUAAAAUGUUGGUCUACCAUACAAUCCUGUUUUCAAAGUGUGGGAAAAGAAGAAUGUCCUUCUCUUAUUUGGGAAUACAUUGAGGAUGAGAAUGGAGAAAAGGAUUACAGUACAACAGAAAUUUAUAUGCUGUUUCUCCAGAGCUGCUUGAUGAUCUUUGAAGAGGCCGUAAAGAGUCUAGAAAAGGACAAACUGUCGGCACCUGAGUUAUUUGACAUUAUGUGUAAGUUGCGACAAAAACUCAUACAGCGAAAAAAAUGACACAUUUUUUGGAAAGAAGACUGCUUUAGAACUGAAAAAAAUGUCACCAGAAAAGAGCAGUCAAAUUAAACAGGACUUUCUCAAUUUCUUUACUAAAACUAUGCCUUUUUUGGAAUCCAAUUUUGAUUUCACAAAUUCUAAUUACCUCUGUGCUUUAAAACCAUUUUCUCUCAGAAAGAGAGGUUUAACUUACAGUGACAUCCGGUGUGAUUCGGAAUGUUCAGAAAUGAUGGACCUUUUAGACAUGGAAACCUCUCUGAUGAAUUUAUAGAUGCACAGGACUUGAUAGACAAACAGCUGGUCUACCCGAACAAGCCUGGAGAUGAAAAAUGGAUGGACGUUUCUGGAGAGCUGGAAACAGAUUCCUACAAGUCUAAAAACUUGCUGCUGCUCGUAAGUAAAAUUCUAAGUAUUCCAUGCUCACAUGUUUUUGUUGAGAGGGUAUUUAGAUUGAUGUCAUCACAUUGGACUGACACCAGGAAUCAGUGUGACGUAGGCUUGGUGAGAGCACAACUGCAAGUCAAAGAGAAUUUUCCAUUCGACUGUAUCCAGUUUUACCACCAUGUAAAAGAAAAGAAGGAUGUCCUGAAGGCUGCAGGCUGUUCAGAGAAGUACUAUUGGACAAGGAAACAGAAAGACUUCUGCUGUCGGAAGUGGGAUUUGAAGAAGACCCCUGACGAGCCCCAAGGCCAGUGAGUAGCCAGGUGCUGGUACCUCCCAAGCCCAUUGUGCUCACUACUUUCUCACCAACCUCGGGGUUCUAACGUAAG